CAAGAAACUUGUAUGGAGGAUACUCCACAAUGUUCAACACAACAGACUGUCCCAUCCUGCCGUACACCAGCCCUCAGCACCUUCCUUGAAUAGAAAAAUGAGGAGCGACCAAAGUAUUCUCUUGGGAGAAAGGGGUUAAAACAAAAGGUAGAAAUGAAAGUUCGGGUAGGUGCUAAAUUGGGUUCCCCUGUGUCGGGAGCGAUCAUUACAGCCAGAGAGACGAAUGAGGCGGAUCUGACCAUUUUCACGUCGCUUCUGAUCGAUUUCUCGGUAAAACAACUCAUAUAAUCAUGUGAAGGUUGUAACAUUGAGUUUAAUUGGCAGCUGUUGUUUAAAAAAUUGUAUAAUAAAUAAAUAAACAAGA
Long non-coding RNA from Poeciliopsis prolifica (blackstripe livebearer), 364 nucleotides. RefSeq lists it as uncharacterized. The transcript has 2 exons. The record is from RefSeq and is a predicted model, not a curated record. Lineage: Eukaryota; Metazoa; Chordata; Actinopteri; Cyprinodontiformes; Poeciliidae.